GAACAUUCAGAAACACACCUAGCGAAGCGCACUAGCAACGACAUAACAACAAUGGCUACUAAGAUAUUAUCCCUCCUUGCGCUUCUUGCCCUUUUUGUUAGCGCAACAAAUGCGUUCAUUAUUCCACAAUGCUCACUUGCUCCUAGUGCCAUUAUUCCACAGUUCCUCCCACCAGUUAGUUCAAUGGGCUUCGAACAUCCAGCUGUGCAAGCCUACAGGCUACAACAAGCGCUUGCGGCGAGCGUCUUACAACAACCAAUUGCCCAAUUACAACAACAAUCCUUGGCACAUCUAACAAUACAAACCAUCGCAAUGCAACAGCAACAGCAACAACAGUUCCUACUAGCACUGAGCCACCUAGCCAUGGUGAACCCUGGCGCCGACUUGUAACAACAACUGCUUGCAUCCAACCCACUUGCUCUGGCAAACGCAGUUGCAAACCAGCAACAACAACAGCUGCAACAGUUUCUGCCAGCGCUCAGUCAACUAGCCAUGGUGAACCCUGCCGCCGACCUACAACAGCAACAACUGCUUUCAUCUAGCUCGCUCGCUGUGGCCAAUGCACCUACAUACCUGCAACAACAAUUGUUGCAACAGAUUGUACCAGCUCUGACUCAGCUAGCUGUGGCAAACCCUGCUGCCUACUUGCAACAGCUGCUUCCAUUCAACCAACUGACUGUGUCGAACUCUGCUGCGUACCUACAACAGCGACAGCAGUUACUUAAUCCACUGGCAGUGGCUAACCCAUUGGUCGUUGCCGUCCUACAGCAGCAACAUUUGCUGCCAUACAACCAGUUCUCUUUGAUGAACCCUGUCUUGUCGAGGCAGCAACCCAUCGUUGGAGGUGCCAUCUUUUAGAUUACAUAUGAGAUGUACUCGAUAAUGGUGCCCUCAUACCGGCAUGUGUUUUCUAGAAAUAAUCAAUAUAUUGAUUGAGAUUUAUCUCGAUAUAUUUCUCAACUAUGUUCAUCAUAUAAAUAAUUGAAAACAUCAAAUCGUAAUUAUAAACUCAUCCUUGGUCAAUACAUAGACAAUACGAUAUUACUUCAACAUCCCAAUGAUGUCAUAGCCCAACCUCUUGAAUGUUACUGUUUUAAUGUGUGAGGGUAUAUUUAUAAGAUUGACGUGACUAUUUGUGCUUUUUUUGAGUACAUACAUAUAUGGUAUGUUGAUUUGAUAUAGUGAUGGACACAUGCUUUGACCAUGAAUAUUCAAAUCAGUUGUACUUGCACGAAGCAAAACAUAAUAUAAGUUUAGGAGUAGACUUAUAACUAUGUCCAAACAUGCUCACACAAAUUCAUACCACAUUAUAAUUUUUUGGUAAAUAUUCCACACAUGUAUGUUUUAUAAGAACCCAAAUUUUGCAGACAAAUGCUGAAUUGUAGACAUGUAGAAUUCUUUGAAGCUCGUGAACUUAACAACACCAAGGUCAUUAAAUCAACUCGACCCUAUGAGUAACAAUUUCGAUAUUGCAAACACCAAAUUAUAGAACUUAUUGGCUGAAAAAUUAUGAGCAAUGUGAAGUUUAAAUUAUUAUACCAUAAAUAUAUCAAAGAAUUUUUUUGAGGAACGUAAAAAUUGCAUGGAAUGGGCUGCCCAACGUGCUAGCUCACUUCUAUGCUAGGUAGCAUUACCAAAGAUGGGAAUGUUGCUGAUGAACGCAAAACCCACUCAAAUCAUAUAUAUAUUUGGGAUGUUUAGUUGUAAAAGUGAAGACCUAAGAUAAAAGUACCAAUUGUCCAAUGACAUUCAAUUAUUUUGUUCGGGGAGCACUUUGUGUGUCAUUUGGACUCGUAUCUUAGUCCAAUAGAUUGCAUUUUCCUUCAAUGUGUAGAAUCCGACAAAGUGCUUGUUCCAAAAUUGUAAAUCUAACUAAAUUAUAAAGCUUGUUACUAAUUUGAUGGUUUAUUAGGUGUAGCUCAUAAAACUAGAACCAACAUAGCCUGCACUCACAUGUCAUAGAAAAUAGGAGUAUCCAAGCACAAUUUGUGUGAGCAUACAUGACACAAAUUAUAUAUAGACUGAUAUAAUUAAUUCCUUGAAAAAAGAAAAAGGAAACAAUAAAAUGUUUUUUGAUAUUGCAGGAUAUCUCCUUUAGCUAAUGAGGAGUACUAAAAAGAUGUUGCACUUUUGGGUGGCGAGAAUUCGUCAAUCAUAACUUUGACAUAAUUUUAAUCCGGAUCACAUAUAUAUCAUCAUAUAUUAAUUAUUAAAUUAAUAUGGUUCCAUCAUCGUAUUAUUAAUUCAAUCCGAUAUAACCAUCAGAUCUUAAUUAUUAAAUUAAUCUGGAGCGUACAUUAUAUUAUCAAACCAAAUCAACCCGACAUAACCAUCUAAUGUUCCGCUAUGCACAAUAAGCGCAUGGUCUGGGGCUUAAUCAUCCGGAAUAACCAUCCGAUCUUCUGGUAAGCAUAGUAAGCGUAUGGUUCACGACUUUGUCAUUCGGAAUAACCAUUAGAUUUUCCGGUAUGCACUGAAAGCAAAUGAUCCGGGGUUUUGGUAGGUGUAACGUUGUUAGGUGAAUGCGUAUGUUGGCUGCUGUUGCACGUGCGAACUGCUGUGUGGAAGCUGCUGGGUCCUCCUCUAUUAUGUGUGGCUUGUGGCGGGCUUGGACUGCUCUCAUGGCUUCGUCACUUGGAACUGCUCGUCCGUCCGGUCCUGCGUGCAUCUCUCUCUCCUAGCUGGAGGCGUGGUGGCCUGGUGGUUUCUCUGUGUUUUUCUUUUUACGACGGCUUCUCUUGUUGGCUAGGGUUGGCAUCAGGGGCCCGGUCAGCUAUGCUCCCUCAGCUUUUAUAGGCAGCGAACCACCGCAGGCAGAGCAGAGAUAAAGAUUCCAACUGCAUCCAUCUACAAACAAGGAUCUCGACGGAAGAGAUAAAAGCAUGCAGCACAAUUGCCGCUGCCCUACUGCAGCCUUGACUCUCGUCAAUUGGAUGACCAAAAGAUGCCACCGUCUAAGCUCUUUUCUUUGUGCAGCUGCCUGUUUGUCACCAACACAAAAUUUGUAGGUGCAUGUUUGUCACCAAUUAUCCUCUACCACAAAGAACUACAAUAGUGGUGGAGGAUCCGAUCCGGCACAGAUCCACUAUAAUGCAUAGUUGGUGAUGCAUGCCUAAUGGUGGUUGUUUAGUGUUAGUUUGGGCAUGUUGGAACUAAGCAAUUGUCGAUGCCAUACACUAGAAGUGAAGAAUGUUGUUAGCGUUAGGAGUAGAGGUGUCAAUGGGGACCGAUGCCCGUUAAGCCAUGGAGAAUUUCUCUAUUAGAUUUAGGGUAUGGGAAGAUUUUAAUUUCCAUUUGCUGAAUUUAGGUAUACAUCUAUUUGAAUCAACAGUUACAGUUCAACAAAAACUCUUUCCGCUCUAGUUUGUUUCGUGUCCUACCUUUUUCCUAAACUAGUUUUCCCUAAAUUGACAUACUCUCUAGAAAAUAUAUCCAAAUUUUGAAGAUCAAAUAUGUUCCAUUGAAUUAUUCAUGACAUAUAUCUUGGUAUUGCUUUUUUGUCAUCAGAAUAUAUUUUGAACUCAGUAAAAGUUAUACACGAUUUUUUUAGACAAUACUAAAGCAAGUUGUAAUCAAGAACAUUUGAGGUGUGCGCCAAUUUCCACAUUUAGAUAUAAUCAUUCUAAUUUUGGUCAUCCUAUGUAUGUGCAUUCAUCUAUGCAUUCUAGGAUUUCAAUUAGUCUCAAUCUUGUAGUAUUUGUUCCUUCAUUGUCAAAUCACUUCUCAUCUAACUACUAUGCUUGUUUAACCAUCAGAACAUAACUACAACAAUAUCCAUUUAUAAAGGUUUUGAUAGCAAACUUUACAUAUUCAUAUCAUGUUAAGGUUGUCACAUGUGUAAAGGUGAAGAGAUCAUGCAUGUCAUUCCACGUAGAUGAAAAGAAUUCCUAUAUAAAAUGACACCUUUUCUUGUAGGUAGUGGAAAGUAUCUUUCCAGCAAAGACCAUAUAAUCCGAUAAAGUUGAUAACUAAAUGUCGAAAUAGAGUAGAUGCCAUAUCAUCUAUACCUUAUCUGUUGUUUGGAAAAAGACUAAAUCCAAAAAUAUAUAUAUAAGAUCUCACUUGUAUAAAUAGCUCCCAAAUUAGUAGUUAACCAUCACCCAUAAUAUUUUGAGCAUUCAGAAACACACCUAGCGAAGCGCACUAGCAACGACCUAACAACAAUGGCUUCCAAGACAUUAUCCCUCCUUGCGCUUCUUGCCCUUUUUGUGAGUGCAACAAAUGCGUUCAUUAUUCCACAAUGCUCACUUGCUCCGAGUGCCAUUAUUCCACAGUUCCUCCCUCCAGUUACUUCAAUGGGCUUCGAACACCCAGCUGUGCAAGCCUAUAGGCUACAACAAGCGCUUGCGGCGAGCGUCUUAGAACAACCAAUUGCCCAAUUACAACAACAAUCCUUAGCACAUCUAACCAUACAAACCAUCGCAACGCAGCAGCAACAAGCACUGAGCCACCUAGCCGUGGUGAACCCUAUCGCCUACUUGCAACAACAGCUGCUUGCAUCCAACCCACUUGCUUUGGCAAACGUAGCUGCAUACCAACAACAACAACAGUUGCAACAGUUUCUGCCAGCGCUCAGUCAACUAGCCAUGGUGAACCCUAUCGCCUACCUACAACAGCAACAACUUCUUUCAUCUAGCCCGCUCGCUAUGGGCAAUGCACCUACAUACCUGCAACAACAGUUGUUGCAACAACAGUUGCUGCAACAAAUUGUACCAGCUCUUACUCAGCUAGCUGUGGCAAACCCUGCUGCCUACUUGCAACAACUACUUCCAUUCAACCAACUGACUGUGUCGAACUCUGCUGCGUACCUACAACAGCGACAACAGUUACUUAAUCCACUAGCGGUGGCUAACCCAUUGGUCGCUGCCUUCCUACAGCAGCAACAAUUGCUGCCAUACAACCAGUUCUCUUUGAUGAACCCUGCCUUGUCGUGGCAGCAACCCAUCGUUGGUGGUGCCAUCUUUUAGAUUACAUAUGAGAUGUACUCGAUAAUGGUGCCCUCAUAGCGGCAUGUGUUUCCUAAAAAUAAUCAAUAUAUUGAUUGAGAUUUAUCUCGAUAUAUUUCUGAACUAUGUUCAUCAUAUAAAUAAUUGAAAACAUCAUAUCAUAAUUAUAAACUUAUGCUUGGUCAAUACAUAGACAAUACAAUAUUACUUCAUCAUCCCAAUGAUGUCCAAGCCAAACCUCUUGAAUGUUACUGUUUGGGUGUGUGCGGGUGUAUUUAUAAGAUAGAUGUGACUAUUUGCGCUUUUUGUUGAGUACACACAUAUAUGGUAUGUUGAUUUGAUAUAGUGAUGGACACAUGCUUUGACCAUGAAUAUUCAAAUCAGUUGUACUUGCACGAAGCAAAACAUAAUAUUAGUUUAGGAGUAAACUUAUAACUGCGUCCAAACAUGCUCACACAAAUUCAUACCACAUUAUAUUUUUUUGGUAAGUAUUCCACACAUGUAUUUUUUACAAGAACCCAAAUUUUGCACACAAAUGUAGCAUUCUAGAUAUGUAUAAUUCUUUGAAGCCCGUGAACUUAACAACAGCAAGGUCAUUAAAUCAAUUGGACCCUAUGAGUAAUAAUUUCGAUACGCAAACACCAAAUUAUGGAACUUAUUGGCUGAAAAAAUUAUGAUCAAUGUAAAGUUUAAAUUAUUAUACCAAAAAUAUAUCAAAGAACUUUUUUGAGGAACGUAAAAAUUGCAUGGAAUGGGCUGUCUAACGUGCUAGCUCACUUUUAUGCUAGGUAGCAUUACUAAAGAUGGGAAUGUUGCUGAUGAACGCCAAACCCACUCAAAUAAUAUUUAUAUUUGGGUUGUUUAGUUGUAAAAGUGAAGAUCCAAGAUUAAAAUACCAAUUGGCCAUUGUCAUUCGAUUGUUUUGUUUAGAGAGCACUUGGUGCGUCAUUUGGACUCGUAUCUUAGUCCAAUAGAUUGCAUUUUCCUUCAAUGUGUAGAAUCCGACAAAGUGCAUGUUCUAAAAUUGUAAAUCUAACUAAAUUAGAAAGCUUGUUACUAAUUCGAUGGUUUAUUAGUUGUAGCUCAUAAAACUAGAACCAACAUAGCCUGCACUCACAUGUCAUAGAAAAUAGGAGUAUCCAAGCACAAUUUGUGUGAGCAUCCAUGACACAAAUCAUAUAUAGACUGAUACAAUUAAUUCCUUCAAAAAUAAAAAAGGAAAAAAUAAAGUGUUUUUGGAUACUGUAGAAUAUCGAGCGAAGGGUGACGUCUUCACCUUCGCCCCAACAUUUGCCCUCCGAGGGACCAGUUCGACUAAGUCAUUUGGUGCCGAAGGUGUCGCUAGAUGGUGGAGACGCUGCCCUCGCUCGAAGUGGUUCCGCGGGGGUUUUUGACAUGACCGUUGAUUGACGCCACACUGUUGGAUUGCUGGCUUCCCGAAGCGUCGCGCCCUGUGUAUAUAAAGGGGGUGGGGGCGGCGGGGAUUGAAAUUUACCUUUCUGCGCGCCGCGAAAACCCUAGCCUCCCUGUCAAACUGCUCGCUUGCUCGUCUGCCCUCCUUGCUCCUGUUCGUCGGAGAACUGGCCCACGUGAAGCAGACUGUGCGCCGCCGUCGACGGUACGUAGCCAUGCCGUCUUCCUCCUCGUCUGCUGCGACCACGCCGACGGCCAAGGCGACUUCCGAAGAUCUCUCGGGCACUGUGGCGGCGGCGGAAUUACGACCGGGUGAUACGGUGGAAUUCGGUGUUUCGCGGAUGUCGUUGGUCCGCGUGCAAGAUAUGCAACAGUUGGUGUAUUUUGGCGGCGGGGUUGGUCGAGUCCCGGGGCCAGAGGAGGUCCCCGAGCUCGAGGGCGAAUUGGUUGUUUUUGAGGCAUUUUUCAUCGCCGGCCUUCGCCUGCCUGCGCAUCGUUUUAUGUCGGAGGUUCUGCAGAAGUUCAAAGUCCAGGUUCAUUAGCUCACACCGAACGCCGUGGUGGCGUUGGCGAAGUAUGUCUGGGCAACGACGUCGUAUGGCGGUCAGCCUUCGGUGGAAGUCUUCGCCAAGCAAUACGGUCUGCAUUGGCAGAAGAGAAAAAAUGGACAUAAGAUUGCUCAAUUCGGAUCAUGCACUUUCACGCCGAAGUCCGGGAAGACUUCGAUGGAAGUGGUGGAGCUGGUCCCCUGUGCCCAAAAUAAGUGGGGCAACUGGUGGGACUACUGGUUCUAUGUUUCGGAGGCUGAAGUCGAAGAUCACCCAGGGCUCCCUGCCGCCAUUAUGUGCUCUCAUUACUAUGUGGCAUACCCGCCAUUUGAAGUGGCGGAGGAUGAUGAAAAUGAAAGGGCCCUUCGGAUCGCUGCCCGCACGAGUAGUGGGCGCGAUCUAGUUGAGGAAUUCAUAGGGUAUGGGGUGUGGCCCUUGGCGCAUGGAUGGGCGUUGGGCAAAGUAUGCCCUCGCGAGAUGCCCUCCCUGGGCGGGCGGAAGGUGCGAAGUCCGCUUUUUGCUUUGGAUGUGCGAGGGCGGGAUCCUGCCGCGGUUGUGCAUGAGGCGGAGGAUGGGGCGGUGAGAAUUGUUGGGUGCUACGUGCCGAAGACGGAGGCCCAGCGGAGUUGGGAUAUACGUGGAUCCAACGACCGCCUGAAUAGGGUCUUCGAGUUGAAUUGUUUGCCGUAUGGCGGUUAUCCCGGGGAAGACGUUGUCGACCACAGCGGGAAAAAACCAGCGGCUGUGACUGAAGACGACCCCGCGUCGGAGGCCGCCCCAGCCACUAAGAAGAGGAAGCUAGGUACUGCGGUGGGAGAACUGGGGGUCUCCGAUAGUUUUGCUAUGGAGUUGAUGGGGACAUGCGUGGCCCCCGGGGGAAGGAUGUCUUCGCCCGAGCUCCGGGAGUCUUCGGCGCGGAUGUUGGAGGUUACCGGGGGUCGAUGGCCCAAAAACGUUCCUAUCCCCCGCGCGGCUGGCGAAGACUUCUUUACAUCUCGCAUGGCUCGUGACUUGAGAGUGUUUCCUUACAGACGGAAUAUUGCUGUUGUUGUGUCGAUAGUGAUGAACAAGGAUCACCAGGAUGCUGCGCAGAAGCGUCGGGCGGUCAUCAGGCUCCCCGACGCUAGGCGUGAAGCGAAGAGAGCGCGAGGGAGUGCGAAGGCUAUCGUCCCCGGCGGUAGCCAGCCGAUGCUGGCUGCAAAGCCGGCCGCGCCUGGAUCCAGCAAGGUGCCGGAGAGCGGGAAGGCGGUCGGCGCCGGUGGAACCAAGUCUGCCCCGGACGGAGCUGUGAAGGUCCGGGAGCUGCCUUCGACGGGGAAACGCGUUGCCGACUUCGGCAUGAAUAUUAGCGUGGACGACUAUCUCGUUGGUAAGCAUUUUUUUUAUUCUGACCGGUGAUACGUUGCAGGGUCGAGUGAGGGGCAACUGGUUGUUGUCCCACCUGUGGUGGCAACCACGGCGUCAACCGCGGUGCUUGGGGUGAAGGGUGGCGCUUUCAGCGCUGGCGGCGAGAUUUCGGCGGCCACUGCCGUCAAGGACGAAGCGGGCACUAUGUCCCGCCGGCUGAGGGAGGCGUCGCAGCAGCUAAGUCAAGUAAGUUGAGCUGGACUUCGGUGUUUCCUGCUUUCAUGGGGAUUGUGGUCUCAUGUGUGUCUGUUAGGCGGCCGACUUCGCCGACCGCGUGGCGUCGGGUGCCCUUACUGCAGAUGUGUCUGCCGAAGUCGAGAGACUUUGGGCGCAGCACGCGGACGCCGUCCGGGAGAAGUCGGCUGCGGAGAGCAAGAGCCACAGGCUGGCGGAGAAGGUGGCCGCCCUGGAGGGCGAGAGGAUGGACCUCCGGCGCCAGUUGGUGGAGGAAAGGAGGGAGGCCAACCAGGCCAUCGCCAAGGUGCAGGCGGCGCAGGCGGAGGCCAAAUUGGCGUGGGCGGAGGGGAGUCUCGCCAGCCAACGCGCCGAGGAAUGGGAGGUGCGGUUCAACGCUCUGCACGCCCGCAUGGAGAGGGCCGAGGCCUCUACGCGCUCGGAAGUUGAGCGAACGCGCAAACAGCUCGUGGACUCAUACCGGGAGCUGGGUGCGCGGACUGCUGACUUCGAGGUGCCCGACCGAGAAGCGAGCCUUCGCUUCCUCGAGUGGCUGCAAGAGGAAUUGCUGGCACUCCCGACCAUCGUGGAGGGAUUCAUGUCUUUUGCCUCCCUCGUCACCUGCGAAGGGGCCAUGAAUGCGUUGUCCCGCAAGGGAUGCAAUCACUAUGAGGGCUUCGACCGGUCCGAUGAAGACUUUGGGCGCGAAAUUUUUAAGGUCGAAGACCCUGUGGUGAAGGAUUCUGCGGGGGCCCUCUUCGAUCGGAUGUGGGGUCCUCAUGGCCGGGAGGCGGUCAAGGAGCGGUCUGAUCGGGCGAGAGAGCAUGUAAGUCUUGUCUGUUGUUUCGUGUGAUUGAAUGUGGGUACGUGUGGGUUUGCUGAAUGAGUGUGUUGUUGCUGCAGAUGGCGCAUGCUGAGGAUGUCAAAGACCUCGGAGGUCUAAACAGUGCGCCGCCCGAGGCUGCGGAGGGCAGACCGGUGCUGCCCUCGGAUGCUGGUGAACGCCCAUCGGACGUGCCCGUGCCUGCUGCUGUCGGCGAAGACCCUGUGUCGGCCCCUGUGCCGACAGUCAAAGGCGCUCAUGAGGUGGUGGCGGAGCCGGUGGUCGAAGGCCCUACGGCCGCGGAGGCGCCCGCGCAGGUGGCUAAGUAGUUGAAUAGGUUUAGGGGGGUUGUAAAUUUUGUCUACGUGUUACUGAACCUCGGUUGCUGCGCAGGUUCAGGGUUUUGGGCCUGCGUACGCAACCGCUACUGAAAGUGCUAAUUUUGUGGCGGCUUCGACCGUGGUUGCGGAAAAUGAUUCGGGUGAUUCUGUGUCUAAGUUUUUUGAGUCUGAUGAUUCUGUGAGUUCGGUGGUGUGGACUGAAGAGUCUUCGGAUGAGGACUUGGAUUAUUUUGCGGCAUUGGAUGUGGCUGCGGCGGAGGCUUCGCCGUGUGUGAUGGGUGCUGAGGUUCUCGGUCCGAGCGCUGGGCGUAGGCGGCAAAGGGCGGUGGCGAAGCGCGGAGUGAGUGAGGUGGAGGGUGGUCGUCUUCGUGUGGACAGGGCUGGUAGGCGGGAAUUGUUGUCCUUGCCAGAUGGGGCGAGUGUAGGUGAGGGGGAAUUGCGAAGUCUGUUUGAGGGUGAGGAGCUGAGGAUAAUGUUGUUUAACUAUAGGGAGAUGGGUAUCAUCCCGAAGGUUGAACCAUUGUAAGGUGUGAUGCCCUCGUUGUACGUAUGUAACUAUAAUUUGUAUGAUGAGGCUGUGUGCCUUAGCUGAUACGGUCGUGCCCGUAGGGGACUUGUGCACUAGGUCUAGCACGUUUAUUAUGUCGGUCCAGCUGCACCCUCAGGCGACUUUUGCACGGAUAGUCUUGGGAGGAAGACUUCGAUUUUUCGCACUUGUUGUGCUAGUCCGGCUGCACCCUUAGGCGACUUUUGCACGGAUAGUCUUUUGGAGAAGACUUCGAUUUUGCGCACUUGUUGUGCUAGUCUGGCUGCACACUUAGGCGACUUUUGCAUAGACAAUAUUUUGGGGAAGACUGGUUUUGCGCACUUUUUGUGCUAGUCCGGCUGCACCAUUAGGCGACUUUUGCACGGAUAGUCUUUUGGGGAAGACAUGUUUUGCGCACUUGUUGUGCUAGUCCGGCUGCGCCCUUAGGCGACUUUUGCGCGGACUGUCGCACGUGAGGGUAGCCAGCGCUGCCCCUCGCGGUGACUUCGUGUUUGUCGAAUGUCGAAGACUGUCGAUGCGGUCUUCUUUCGACGUUGUAAUUUUUUGCGGGGGAUUUUUUGCGUGUAUAUUACAUGGCUCCACCUCAUUAAAAACCUCACCCCCCGGUAGGAAAAGAGUGCGGGCCGGAAUAAAAACUGUCUUGCGAAUUACAAGGGUGAGCUGGCCCUAAGGAGUCAAACAAAAAACUUGCGAAGAUUGUCAAUGUUCCAAGAAUGUUCAAAGUCUUCGCCAGAUGGCGUUGUGAGCCUGUACGCGCUGGGGGACGCCUUCGUCUUGACAAUGAAAGGGCCCUCCCAUUUUUGCUCUAGCCUGCCCCGGGACUCUGUCCGAGUUGUCCGGACGAGUACGAGGUCUCCUUCGCUAAAUUCCCUCGGGAUGACUGUGUGGUCGCGCCAUGCUUUUGUUUGAGCUUGGUAUUUGUUUAGAGCCUGUAGGGAGAAGACACGGUCUCCGUCGAUGAGGUCCUUCGAAGUAGGUUCGUCUACGUCGGGGACGGCUGACGCGACUGUCCGCAGUGACCCAUGUUUUAUUUCUUGCGGAGUCAUGGCCUCCGAUCCAUAUAGAAGGCGGAAAGGGGUGAACCCAGUCGCCCUGAACUCAGUCGUGUUCAGCGCCCAGACCGCUUUAGGUAACAGGUCUGCCCACUUUCCUUUUUUGUCGUCGAGGAGCAUUUUCUUGAUGGCUGUGAAAAUUUUACCGUUGGCGCGUUCCACAACUCCGUUGGAUUGCGGGUGGUACACUGAGGCGAAGGCAAGCUUGGUGCCGAUGGAGAAGCAGAAAUCCUUGAAGUCUUGGCUGUCAAAUUGCUUGCCAUUGUCAGCUGUGAGUUCGGACGGGACUCCGAAGCGGCAAACAAUGUUUUGCCAGAAGAAUUUCUGGGCAGUCUUCGAUGUUAUCGUGGAUACAGUCCUCGCCUCGAUCCAUUUGGUAAAAUACUCGACGGCGACGAAGGUCAACUUGAGGUUCCCCUAGGCCGUGGGUAGGGGCCCGACAAUGUCCAGGCCCCAGCGCUGAAGAGGCCACGUGUGGGCGAUUAGCUUUGUGAAUUGCGAAGGGCUUCCCGAGCGUGGAGAAAAUUUCUGGCAGGCUUCGCAGGACCUUGUGACCCGAUUUGCAGCGCAGAUCAUGGCGGGCCAGUAGAAACCUUGAUGGAUCACCUUUGCGGCUAGGGCCCUGGGCCCUGCGUGAGAGCCGCAAGUCCCGCUGUGGACUUCGCGCAGAAUUUGGACGCCUUCGGUCUCGGUGACACAUUUAAGCAUGGGUUGACUGACCCCCUUUUUGUAAAGUUGGCCUUCGAUUAGUGCGAAGUCCCGGCUUCGAUGUUUGAGGCACUUGGCCUCAUUGAUAUCGGUUGGAUGAUAGUACCCCUGCAGGAAUAGGGUUAUUGGUGCCCGCCAGUCUUCGGUCAUGAUGAGGUUGACUAUGCGGUGGCCCUCGCUGUCAUUGGUUAUUUGGAGCCCCUCUGGGCUGCGGAAGGCUGGCGUGCCAAUGACAUGGUAGAAUACAUCGGAGGGCAGGGCCUCGCCUCUGGCGGCUGCCUUGGCUAAUGCGUCGGCCUCCUCAUUCUUGGCUCGGUCCACAUGCUGUAAGGUAAAACCUUUGAAUUGUCUUUCGAGACUGCGGAUAGUCGCGAGGUACUGCAUAAGUGUGGGGUCCUUCGUUGUGUAGUCUUUCUCGACUUGGCCGACGACUAUCUUGGAGUCUGUUCUGAUGAUGCAGGUGGUGACACCAAGUGGCCUUAGCUUGCGAAGGCCGAGAAUGAUAGCUUCGUAUUCUGCUAUAUUGUUAGUGCAUCUGUCAGACUCCAAAGCAAAGCUGAGGCGUGCUGCGUAUCUGUGCUUGACCCCUGUGGGUGACGUAAUGACUACAGCGGUGCCUGCCCCCGCAUGGCACCAUGCGUCGUCGCAAUGGAUUGUCCAUACCCUCUCCGCGGACGUGUCCGGCUGUGUUAUUGGCCCAGUCCAGUCGACGACGAAGUCUGCCAGGACUUGUGACUUGAUGGCUGUCCUGGGUUUGAAUGUGAUGUGUUAGCCGGAGAGUUCGGCUGCCCAUUUGGCAAUCCGGACUGAUGCCUUCGGGUUUCUAAACAAUUCGCUGAGUCCCCUAUCUGAGGUGACCCGGACCUUGAACGCUUCAAAAUAAUGGCGCAAUUUGCACGAAGCCAUAACAACUGCGUAGGCGAUUUUUUCCAGUUCCGUCAUAUUGCAUUUUGAUGUCGUGAGUACUUCGGAGACGUAAUAAACUGGACAUUGCCUGAACGAGCCCUCUCUAUUCCGCUCUUAGACCAGUGAUGCGCUGACCGCAUGCGGCGAAGCUGCGAUGUAGAGCAACAGUGGUAGCGAGGGGUCUGGGCUUGUAAGAAUCGCCAAUUCUGACAGAUACUGCUUCAAAGAGGCGAAGGCCGCCGCCUGCUCUGGUCCCCAUGCGAAGUCUUUUGCGCCGCGGAGUGUUUUGAGGAAAGGGAGACUUCGCUCUGCGGAUUUGGAGAUGAAUCUGUUGAGGGCGUCCAAUCUGCCUAUUAGUCGUUGGACGUCUCUGGCUGACUGUGGGGCGUCAUGUUGAUGAUGUCCUGAAUUUUGGUUGGAUUGGCUUCGAUCCCAUGGUGCGACACCGUGUAGCCCAAUAUUUUCCCCUAGCGAACGCCGAAGACGCACUUUUCGGGGUUUAGGCGAAGUCGUGCGUCCCGCAUGUUCGCAAAUGUUUCGGUGAGGUCAGCCAGAUGGUCUUCCUUGCUUCUGCUGGCGACGACGAUGUCGUCCACAUACGUAAAUAUGUUUCUGCCGACUUGGCCCUCGAGCACUGUUUUGGUGAGCCGAGAGAAAGUGGACCCGGCGUUCUUAAGUCCCUCCGGCAUUCUGAUGGUAUUAUUAAUUCAAUCUGAUAUAACCAUCAGAUCUUAAGUAUUUAAUUAAUCUAGAGCGUACAUUAGAUUAUCAAACCAAAUCAACCUGACAUAACCAUCGAAUGUUCCGCUAUGCACCUUAAGCGCAUGGUCUGGGGCUUAAUCAUCCGAAUAACCAUCCGAUCUUCUGGUAAGCAUAGUAAGCGUAUGGUUCACGACUUCGUCAUCCGGAAUAACCAUCAGAUUUUCCAGUAAGCACUGAAAGCAAAUGAUCCGGGGUUUUGUAGGGGAAAUGUUGUUAGGUGAAUGCGGAUGCUGGCUGAUGUUGCACGUGCGAACUGUUGUGUGGAAGCUGCUAGGUCCUCCUCUAUUGUGCGUGGCUUGUGGCGGGCUUGGACUUCUCUCAUGGCUUUGGCGCUUGGAACUGUUCGUCCGUUCGGUCCUGCGUGCAUCUCUCUCUCCUGGCUGGAGGCGUGGUGGCCUGGUGGCUUCUCUGUGUUUUUCUUUUUACGACAGCUUCUCGUGUUGGCUAGGGUUGGUGUCAGGGGCCCGGUCAACUAUGCUCCCUCAGCUUUUAUAGGCAGAGCACCACAGCAGGCAGAGCAGAGAUAAAGAUUCCAACUGCAUCCAUCUACAAACAAGGCUCUCAGCGGAAGGGAUAAAAGCAUGCAGCGCAAUUGCUGCUACCGUGCUGCAGCCUUGACUCUCGUCAAUUGGAUGACCAAAAGAUGCCACCGUCUAAAGUCUUUUCUUUGUGCAGCUGCCUGUUUGUCACCAACACAAAAUUGUAGGUGCCUGUUUGUCACCAAUUAUCCUCUACCACAAAGAACUACAAUAGUGAUGGAGGAUCCGAUCCUGCAUAGAUCCACGAUAAUGCAUAGUGGGUGAUGCAUGCCUAAUGGUGGUUGUUUAGUGUUAGUUUUGGCAUGUUGGAACUAAGCAAUUGUCGAUGCCAUACGCUAGAAGUGAAGAAUGUUGUUAGCGUUAGGAGUAGAGGUGUCAAUGGGGUCUGAUACCCGUUAAGCCAUGGAGAAUUUCUCUAUUAGAUUUAGGGUAUGGGAAGAUUUUACUUUCCAUUUGUUGAAGUUAGGUAUACAUCUAUUUGAAUCAACAGUUACAGUUCAAUAGAAACUUCUUCCGCUCUAGUUUGUUGCGUGUCCUACCUUUUUCCUAAACUAGUUUUCCCUAAAUUGACAUACUCUCUAGAAAAUCUAUCCAAAUUUUGAAGAUCAAAUAUGUUCGAUUGAAUUAUUCAUGACAUAUAUCUUGGUAUUGCUUUUUUGUCAUCAGAAUAUAUUUUGAACUCAGUAAAAGUUAUACACGAUUUUUUUUAGACAAUACUAAAGCAAGUUGUAAUCAAGAACACUUGAGGUGUGCGCCAAUUGCCACAUUUAGAUAUAAUCAUUCUAAUUUUGGUCGUCCUAUGUGUGUGCAUUCAUCUAUGCAUUCUAGGAUUUCAAUUAGUUUCAAUCUUGUAGUAUUGGUUCCUUCAUUGUCAAAUCACUUCUCAUCUAACUACUAUGCUUGUUUAACCAUCAGAACAUAACUACAACAAUAUCCAUUUAUAAACGUUUUGAUAGCAAACUUUACAUAUUCAUAUCAUGUUAAGGUUGUCACAUGUGUAAAGGUGAAGAGAUCAUGCAUGUCAUUCCACGUAGAUGAAAAGAAUUCCUAUAUAAAAUGACACCUUUUCUUGUAGGUAGUGGAAAGUAUCUUUCCAGCAAAUACCAUAUAAUCCGAUAAAGCGGAUAACUAAAUGUCGAAAUCGAGUAGAUGCCAUAUCAUCUAUACCUUAUCUGUUGUUUGGAAAAAAGACAAAAUCCAAAAAAUAUAUUUGAGACCUCACCUGUAUAAAUAGCUCCCAAAUCAGUAGUUAAUCCAUCACCCAUAAUAUUUUGAGCAUUCAGAAACACACCAAGCGAAGCUACCUAGCAACGACUUAACAACAAUGGCUACCAAGAUAUUAGCCCUCCUUGCGCUUCUUGCCCUUUUUGUGAGCGCAACAAAUGCGUUCAUUAUUCCACAAUGCUCACUUGCUCCUAGUGCCAUUAUACCACAGUUCCUCCGACCAGUUACUUCAAUGGGCUUCGAACACCUAGCUGUGCAAGCCUACAAGCUACAACAAGCGCUUGCGGCGAGCGUCUUACAACAACCAAUUAACCAAUUGCAACAACAAUCCUUGGCACAUCUAACCAUACAAACCAUCGCAACACAACAGCAACAACAGUUCCUACCAGCACUGAGCCAACUAGAUGUGGUGAACCCUGUCGCCUACUUGCAACAGCAGGUGCUUGCAUCCAACCCACUUGCUCUGGCAAACGUAGCUGCAUACCAACAACAACAACAAUUGCAACAGUUUCUGCCAGCGCUCAGUCAACUAGCCAUGGUGAACCCUGCCGCCUACCUACAACAGCAACAACUGCUUUCAUCUAGCCCUCUCGUUGUGGGUAAUGCACCUACAUACCUGCAACAACAAUUGCUGCAACAGAUUGUACCAGCUCUGACUCAGCUAGCUGUGGCAAACCCUGCUGCCUACUUGCAACAGCUGCUUCCAUUCAACCAACUGACUGUGUCGAACUCUGCUGCGUACCUACAACAGCGACAACAGUUACUUAAUCCACUAGCAGUGCCUAACCCAUUGGUCACUGCCUUCCUACAGCAGCAACAAUUGCUACCAUACAGCCAGUUCUCUUUGAUGAACCCUGCCUUGUCGUGGCAGCAACCCAUCGUUGGAGGUGCCAUCUUUUAGAUUACAUAUGAGAUGUAAUCGAUAAUGGUGCCCUCAUACCGGCAUGUGUUUCCUAGAAAUAAUCAAUAUAUUGAUUGACAUUUAUCUCGAUAUAUUUUUGAACUAUGUUCAUCAAAUAAAUAAUUGAAAACAUCAAAUCGUAAUUAUAAACUCAUGCUUGGUCAAUACAUAGACAAUACAAUAUUACUUCAUCAUCCCAAUGAUGUCCUAGCCCAACCUCUUGAAUGUUAUUGUUUGGGUGUGUGAGGGUGUAUAUAUAAGAUAGAUGUGACUAUUUGCGCUUUUUGUUGAGUACAUACAUAUAUGGUAUGUUGAUUUGAUAUAGUGAUGGACACAUGCUUUGACCAUGAAUAUUCAAAUCAGUUGUACUUGCACGAAGCAAAACAUAAUAUAAGUUUAGGAGUAAACUUAUAACUGUGUCCAAACAUGCUCACACAAAUUCAUACCACAUUAUAAUUUUUUGGUAAAUAUUCCACACAUGUAUUUUUUACAAGAAACUAAAUUUUGCACACAAAUGUAGCAUUGUAGACAUGUAUAAUUCUAUGAACCCGUGAACUUAACAACACCAAGGUCAUUAAAUCAACUGGACCCUAUGAGUAACAAUUUCGAUAUGGCAAACACCAAAUUAUUGAACUUAUUGGCUGAAAAUUAUGACCAACGUAAAGUUUAAAUUAUUAUACGAUAAAUAUAUCAAAGAAUUUUUUUUGAGGGACGUAAAAAUUGCAUGGAAUCGGCUGCCUAACGUGCUAGCUCACUUUUAUGCUAGGUAGCAUUACUAAAGAUGGGAAUGUUGCUGAUGAACGCCAAACCCACUCAAAUAAUAUUUAUAUUUGGGUUGUUUAGUUGUAAAAGUGAAGAACCAAGAUUAAAGUACCAAUUGGCCAAUGCCAUUCGAUUGUUUUGUUCAGAGAGCACUUGGUGCGUCACUUGGACUCGUAUCUUAGUCCAAUAGAUUGCAUUUUCCUUCAAUGUGUAGAAUCCGACAAAGUGCAUGUUCUAAAAUUGUAAAUCUAACUAAAUUAGAAAGCUUGUUACUAAUUCGAUGGUUUAUUAGGUGUAGGUCAUAAAACUAGAACCAACAUAGCCUGCACUCACAUGUCAUAGAAAAUAGAAGUAUGCAAGCACAAUUUAUGUGAGCAUCUAUGACACAAAUCAUAUGUUGACUGAUACAAUUAAUUCCUUCAAAAAUUAAAAAGGAAACCCAUAAAGUGUUUUUUAUACUGCUGGAUAUCUUCUUUAGCUAAUCAUGAGUACUAAAAGUAUGUUGCACUUUUGGGUGGGGAGAAUUCCCCAUUCAUAACUUUGACAUAAUUUUAAUUCAGAUCACAUAUAUAUAUCAUAUCUUAAUUAUUAUAUUAAUAUGGUAUGCAUCAUUGGAUUAUUAAAUCAAUUCGGUAUAACCAUCGGAUCUUAAUUAAUAAAUUAAUCUAAAGCGUACAUCAGAUUAUCAAACCAAAUCAACCCGACAUAACCCUCGAAUGUUCCGCUAUGCACCGUAAGUGCUUUGUCUGGGGCUUAAUCAUCCGGAAUAACCAUCCGAUCUUCCGGUAAGCACAAUAAGCGUAUGGUUCGGGGCUUCGUCAUCCGGAAUAACCAUCAGAUUUUCUGGUAUGCACUGAAAGCCUAUGAUCCGGUGUUUUGAUAGGCGAAACGUUGUUAGGUGAUUGUGAAUGCUAGCUGUAACUGUGUUUGGAUCUGCUGAGUGGAAGCUGCUGGGUCCUCCUCUACUGCGUGUGGCUUGUGGCGGGCUUGGACUGCUCUCAUGGCUUCGGCGCUUGGAGUUACUCGUCCGUCUGGUCAUGCGUGCGUCUCUCUCUCCUGGCUAGAGGCGUGGUGGCCUGGCGGCUUCUCUAUGUUUUUCUUUUUGUAGCGGCUGCUUGUGUUAGCUAGGGUUGGCGUCAGGGGCCCGGUCAGCUAUGCUCCCUCAGCUUUUAUAGGCAGCGCAGCACAGUAGGCAGAGCAGAGAUAAAGAUUCCAACUGAUCGAAUCCAUCUACAAACUAAGCUCUCGGAGGAAGGGGUAAAAGCAUGCAGCGCAAUUGCUUUUAUGUGUGACGGAUAUGUUUGACAGUUCUUCAACUGUGUUUGAUUUGGAACUAUAUCAUUGUUGAUGUCAAAGGCUAUGUUAAUGUCGAACUAUGAUGAUAUUAUGUGAAUGUUGAACUAUGAAGAUUUUAUGUGUGAUGCAUGUUGGAACUAUAUGUUGAUGUUAAAGACUUGUUGCGAUGUGUUUGUGAAUGUGAGUUGAUAUUUGAGAAUGUGAAUGCGAACGUGAAUUGAUGUUUGUGAAUGUAAUUGUGAAUGUGAAAGUGUGGUAAUUGCCGACGACUCUUUUGCGGCCGUCGGACAUAAGCUAUUUCUGACGGCCCGUCAGAAAUAACCUUAUUUCCGACCCGUUGCGAUCGAGGGACACAGGUGUCGUCGGACAUAAGACUUUGUCCGUCGGAUCUGAUGGUUUAGGAUUUAUUUCCGACGGCUUUGGCCGUCGAAAAUUUUAUCUUUUACUGUUGUGGGGUCCACAUGAACCUUAUCAAUUGUCACCGCCAUCUACCCCCACCUUUCGCUGUCUCGCGGUCCAUUUGCACGCCCUAAACGUGGUGUGACUUUUCAUGAGAGAAUUGGGAGCGACGACUAUGUAGUAGCUCGAACCUGCUAACGAAUUAUAUAUAUAAUCAUAUGGUAUCCACAACUUUUUUAUUCUUUGCGAAAUUGUACCCAGAACUUAACGCGCCCAUUUCGUUUCCGCUUUUAGAGAGACCUCUCUUGACUAGCUAGUGUUCAUACUUCACUUCAUAGUUCAUAGUGCAUAGCACUAUACAGCAGUCUUCCUCUUCUAAGCAGCCAUGGCUAGCACGACCUCUACAGCAGUCCUCCUCGUCUCAACCGCCAUCCUCGUCGCCGCAGCGACCUACUUCCGCCACGGCACGCUCAGCGGCGGCGGCGGCACCGCCGGAACGCACCUCCAUUUCUUCAUGCACGACCAGUACACCGGCGCGAACCCGACGGCCGCGCUCAUCGUGCCCGGAAGGCCGCCGCUCUCCAACGCCACCGCCACCGCCACCGCCACCGGCAGCGGCGAUGACGACGAGCACCCGCGCCGGUUCGGCGACAUCGCCGUGAUGAACAACGCGCUCACGGAGGGGCCCGGGCGCGGCAGCGCGCGCGUCGGCACCGCGCAGGGGUUCACGGUGCGCGUGGCGGAGCGCGGCUCCGUCAACGCGCUGAGCAUGCACCUGGUGCUGGAGGCCGGGGAGCACGCGGGCAGCUCGCUGGUGGUCAGCGGCAGGGUCGACACCGACCUGGCCGUGCGCGAGUCGGUGGUCGUCGGCGGCACCGGCCGGUUCCGCCUCGCGCGGGGCUACGCGCUCAGCAGGAGCUACGACUACGACCUGGCCAAGGGAGGCGUCGUGGAGGUCGAUGUGUACCUGCAGUAGGUUCGCAUGGCAUAUUGGCAUGCAUCGCUCGUUCCUUACCUCUGUACUGCUAUUUGAUCGGUUUUUAUGUUCACUAUCCUGCAGUUUCCCAGAUUUCAAAUUUAUGUUUACAAGAACUGGGACUAGCUAUGAGCUGAAAACUUGGUCCAGUAAUAACAAGGACUUUGGUUUGGCUAUACUUGGUUUUGUAUGUUUCUUUCGUGGGUGUACUGUAAAUUAAUCCUGUUUCACGGCCGUUUAAGGUAAGGUUUUUCUUUUGUUUUACUGUAAAUUUUCAUUAUAAAAACAGAACGAAAAGAUUCAUUUGUGAAUAUGAACACUUAUCCUAGCUAGCGAUUCUUAGCCAACUCCGGGAGACGCGGGCCAGAAAGCAAACUGAUGAUAGGUGAAGUUGAAGGUACAAACCAGUAAUGAUGAUAGGUGAAGUUGUAAGGGGCUCUAUUCUAAAACUAAUAUUUAGAAGCUAAAAUCAGCUGAGAGAUUUAGAACAAAUCAGCUAGUUAAUAGACUAGCUAAUUGUUAGUUAUACCCUCUCAAUCCAUCUAAUAACUUAUUAGCUGAUUAACAAUUAGUUUUAGAGGUUUGAAAUAUGACCUUAUUCUACUAGCUCCAUCUACAUGUUACUAUGAAAAGUCAUGAAUUCACAAGACGUUUUCGAAAACAAUUUCAGCUCCACUUGUAAAGUUGAUUGUGCGGCUGAAGCCAAGAAAACAUUAGAGGACAAACAAUAACUUACUAUGCUUUUCGUGAACUGUUUCAGGCCAGCAGUAAUAAUUAUUGGUCCUACAUGCAUUAAUGGUUAAGCCGCUAGCUUGCCAAGACGGAGCAUUAAUUAGGAGAUAAGACCUAGCGUUUCAUUGCAUCCCCAUGAAAGGGAUACUAUCACUAGUUCACUACUGCAUGAAUAAUUUUCAAAUGUAGUUAAAAACUGAUAUUGAAAUGUAGGUAAUCUGUCCACCUAUGUGAAAUGUUUAACAGAGGCAGCCACUCUAGGAUGUUGCCCUCGAUCUAUUAAUUACUGAUAGAUGCAGCCAUCCAACUCUAGCCACCUGUUGGCGUCUUUUUGGCCAAAUACUGAUGAACCCUAGAGUCUACAAGCGACGUGCAGUGCGUUGAGUUCCUAUCUACGAGCUGAUGGACUGUUCGGCCCUAGUGGUCGGACUACUGUCCGCGGUUGGCAGGCAGACUAUUCGCAGCGGACUGUACCUAGAUCCCACCUCCCCGAAGUGACCCUAUCGGGAAGGAGGGAUUAUAGAAUUGCUUUGGGAUCGGCAGACCAUCUAAAAGCACAUCAAGUUAAGGUAGAGACGAAGAUUGGAGAUUGGGAAGCUACAAUUAGGGCUAAACUAUGUCUAAUCUAAGAACAUGAAUGUAAAUAAGGUAAAACUAUUAUUUGGGUUCGAUUGAUUGUUGUUCCAAUCGGCCAUAACCCCUAAUAGGGGGAGGUCUAGACCCUUUCCUAGGUAGAGUCCAACAAAAUCCAUGAAUAAUCGAUUGAAUCUCGCAAAAAAUCAUGACCCGAACAUGUUUUGAUCUAUUCCCAAAUUGGUUGGGCUAACACACUAGACUAUCUUGCGCCGAACAGUCUGGGCUUCUACGCCAGACAGUCUAGAGGGUGCCAGUUUAGGUUCUCAACACAUGCCCCCAACCUUUUUGGCGGAGUUUUACGAGACAAAAGCACCUAGCACACCUUGUAUACUUCGACAAUUAAGACAUGCACAUGUCAAUUCAUAUUAUUCCGAAGUAAAGACUCAAUGUGAAAACAUCGACCUUCUAGGUGUCUUGCUAAACACUAGGAUAGUAUCGUUUUAACAAACGACCAUUUAAUGCUUUAGUUAGCUUCUCACCUUGCAAAGUCUCCAAUAUAUAUGCAUUACCAGAAAUUACCUAUACAAUCGUAUAAGGCCCUUUCGAACUUGGGGACCAUUUGCCAAACUUUCGAUCUUUGGUCUUUAAUGGCAAGAAUGUCUUCCAUAACAAAUCUCUAUCUUGAAAUUAUUUAGCCUUUACCUUCUUAUUGUAGGCCUUGGCAACUGCAAGUUUGUCCUUUUCUAUCUCCUUUAGAGCUAUCAACCUUUUACCGAUUACAUCAUCAAUAUUAUCCAUCAUUAGGUUAUGAUAUUCACCUAUUGCUAAGUCAUUUUAUUUUGUGAACAUAAUGGCAUUCAAACUUAUCUCCAAAGGCAAAAGAACUUCCUGGCCGUAUACAAGCUCGGAAGGAGUCACCUUAGUAGCAUUGUGCUUAGAUAUCCUAUGAGCCCAUAAAGCUUCGGAUAAAACCUUAUGUCAAUGUCUAGGAUAAUUAAAUAUCUUCUUUUUUAUAAGGCUAAUCAAUAUCUUAUUACUUGACUCGGGCUGAGCAUAGUAUGAAGAUGAAUUGUGCAACUUAAUCUUAAAAGAUUUAACAAUUUCAUGCACCUUUUUGUCGGACAUAAAAGAAGUUCCCUGGACCAUAGUUAAAGUUUGUGAAAUACCAAAUCUAAGAAUAACAUGUUCAGUUAUAAACUCAAUUACCUCCUAGUGUUUCAUUUUUCCAAAACAAAGGCUUCAGUCCAUUUAGGGCCCGUUCGGUUGUUAUGGAAUGGAGUACCGGAACUGUUUCAAGCCGGAUUGCUUCUCUAAUUUGUAUAAGUUUUGAUCAACAGGAAUAAUUCUUGGUGCGUUUCUGCAGAAACGAACAGGCCCUUAGUGAAGUAGUUUCACUACCGGAAUCCGAGCCUUUGCCGAGUGCCGGCCGCUUUGCCGAGUGCCUUUUCUCGGGCACUCGGCAAAUACGGCUUUGCCGAGUGGCGCACUCGGCAAAGCUCGGCUCUCGGUAACGAGCGUCUUUACCGAGCGUAGGACACUCGGUACAGGUCCACACUCGGUAAAUCCAUGUUUGCCGAGUGUCAAACACUCGGCACAUGGGGCUCUCGGCAAAGAGCCGUCAGCGGCCGUCCUAAAGCUGACGGCCGUCAGUCUUUGCCGAGCGCCAACGGUUGGCACUCGGCAAAGAGUCUUCUUUGCCGAGUGUCGCCCAGUUGACGCUCGGCAAAGAACUCUUUGCCGAGUGCCAUCCCUAGACACUCGGCAAAGUAUAUUUUUAUUUCUUUUAUUUUGUCUCCCAAACUUUUUGUGGUAUGUUCCUACACUAUGUAGACCUACAUGUAUCAUUUGUGGACAAUUUUAACAGAGUUUCAAUCGUUAGUAGAUUUAGUUCGUUUAUUUGAAUUUCUUCGGAAAAUUUAGAUUUGAACUGCAGGUCACUCGAAACUUGGAAAACCGUGCAUGAAAAAAUGAUAUUCAUGUUACUUAGCAUAAGUUACGACCGAUUCCAGGAGCGGACCAAAAACUUCGAGCAACAUGCUCACUAAACAUGGUCGUGAACUUGUCAUCAACAUGUUUAAAACUUGUAUAAAACACAAACAAAGUCAGAAAAUCUUGAAACUUGUCCACGUGUCAUGAUAUCAUAUGUACAGGCUGCGAUAAAAAAUUGAAAAAAUUUCGAGAAAACUAUGACGCGCUAUGUGUACAAACCUAAGAGAUCCACAUUGAAACUCUAUGAUUUCAUGUGUAGUUCUCUUAGGUUUCUACACAUAGUGUCUCACAACUUUGUCCAAACAUUCUCAAUUUUUUAUCACAACCUGUGCAUAUGAUAUCAUGACAUGUGGACAAGUUUCAUGAUUUUCUGACUUUGUUUGUGUUUUAUACAAUUUUUAAACAUGUGGAUGGCAAGUUCACGGCCAUGUUUAGUGAGCAGGUUGCUCGAAGUUUUCGGUCCGCUCAUGGAAUCGGUCGUAACUUAUGCUAAGUAACAUGAAUAUCAUUUUUUUCAUGCACGGUUUUCCAAGUUUCGAGUGACCUGCAGUUCAAAUUUGAAUUUUCCGAAGAAAUUCAAAUAAACAAACUAAAUCUACUAGCUAUUUCAAACUCUGUUAAAAUUGUCCACAAAUGAUACAUGUAGAUCUACAUAGUGUAGGAACAUACCACAAAAAGUUUGGGAGACAAAAUAAAAAAAAUACAAAUGCACUUUGCCGAGUGUCUAGGACUGACACUCGGCAAAGACUUCUUUGCCGAGUGCUAGAUGUGUGGCACUCGGCAAAGAGGUAGUAAAGAACCUUUGCCGAGUGCCGCAACGGGGGACACUCGGCAAAGAACUCUUUGCCGAGUGCCGCUGAUCUGGCACUCGGCAAAGAAUAUUUUAAAAUUUUAAAAAAAUCUUUGCCGAGUGCCGGAUCACGGGCACUCGGCAAAGAAACUAACUUUAACCGGCCGCGCGGCCGGCUUUCUUCUUCCUUCUGCUUUGCUUCUUCUUUCUUCUUCCUUCCCGCGCCUCACCGCCGCCGCCUUCCCACGCCUCACCGCCGGCCGCCUCACCGCCGCCCGCCUCACCGCCGCCGGCCUCCCCACGCCUCACCGCCGGCCGCGCCCGGCCGCCCGCGCCCCACCGCCCGCGCCCCACCGCCACCGUUCGCCCGCCUCACCGCCGCCCACGCGCCGUCGUCCGCCCGCUCGCCUCCGGUACGUAAGUUUAUCACAUGUUUAUUAGUGGCAGCCCAUAAUUAGCUUAAAGCUAGGAGGCUCCUUGGCCUCGUGCGGUCGGAGCUCGAGGUGGAGGAGCCUGCAAGCGGCAGCGGGGCAAGGGGCAGGGGCAGGGGCAGCGGGGAGUAGCUUGUGAGACGGUGGUGGUGGUGGCAUACCAGGGUUGAGCGCGCGGGCGAACAGGAGCACCGAAGAGGAGCCUGCAGCGGUGGUGUUGGGGGCAUGAGGCAGCGUGAGGAGUUACGGAUUUCCCAUCGCAUGGGGAGACUGAUAUUUGCCAGCUCCUAGAUUAGGCUAGCCAGCUCGCUGAUCCGGCCUUCCCAACGGCGGUCCAGGUCGUCGUCCACCUCCAGGUCCGAUCCUGCCCCUUCUGCAGCCACCCGGGCAGCGUCCAGUGCGACAUCUUUCUCAAGGAACGUCGGCCGUUCGCCGUGGCUGCGGUUGGUAGGGUCCAGUGCGACAUCUUUCUCAAGGAACGGCGCGUAGGGGACGACGGCGGAGGGGAGAGGGAGGCGGUGGUGGUACUGGUGGUGCACGACGGGCGGGUCGGGUCGGCACCGCCAGUCGAUGAAAAGCCUGCCGCGCGCCGCCUCGCUGAUGCCGCGGCCGAAGGAGUCCGUGUCCCCGGCGUCGAGGCGCUUCUCCUUGACGAAGCGGCUCCAGCCCUUGGUCAUCACGUAGCUCUGGCUACUGUUCCAGUAGGAGUAGCGGUAGCGCCAGGGCUUCCCCGUGCGGUCCUCGAAGCUGAGCAGGAGGCCCUUCUCGUUCGCCGCCGCGUCCAGCGGGAAGUACUUCUCCGCGUGCUGCUUCGGGAUCACCAGCCGGUUCAGCUUCCCGACGUCGCUCGGCGUCACCACCUUGUCGAACAUGUGCUCCUUCUCCACCGUCGCAUGCUGCUGCUGGUGGUGCUGGUUGUGCUCAGCAGCCGCCCUCUCCUCUCCGCCGCCCGACCGGGUCGCGGGCGGGGGAGUGGUGAACUCCAUCGAUCUCCGAUCGACGACCGGCGAUCGGUUGAGAUCGAGGCAGCAAGUCGAACGUAGGCCGUAGACGCCGGCCGAUCGAUCGACGCUGCUGCCGCUACCGCCUCCGCGUUGAGACUUUGGCCGUAGCUGCCUCGAGUCUGGGUGUGUUGAGGCCCGGGAACGAUAGCUCUUUUGGCCGGGAGGUGCUGUCGAUUUUUUUUUGUAUUAAUAGACUUGUGUUUCUUUUUUACAGAGAAGAUACUUGUCUUCCUAGCCGCUGCGGGUCUGCCUGCACCGCGUCGCGUCGCCACUGCACCGACCCGCCACAGCCCCACUAGCCUGACUCCACCGCCACCCUAGGUAUAACCUCUAUUUCCGCAUCAUGGUCGUAGAUCACGUAACCCAGUUAGGCGUCUCCCGUUCGAAAGUGAUACGGUGUAGAUAUGCAGAUCUUUGCAUAUCUACAAAUGUAUCAGUUUCGAAUUGUCCACGUUUUUUGGACAGCCCGCGGUUGCGUAGAUGGUGUUAGUUUCCAUGGUCUACUCCGGUCCGAGAAAGAGUUUCGGCGUCACCUCCCUGUUGUUCUCCGGACAGUACACUCUCCCUGCCAGGACGUGUAUCCGGAGAACAGCGGGGAGGUGCUGCCGAAAUUCUAUCUCGGAUCGGAGUAGAGCAUGGAAACUAACUCCAUCUACGCAACCGCGGGUGGGAUUAGGACCUAUCCUCACCUAUUAGAAGGUAGGAACGUAGUGUACAUGCAUUACAUGUCUAUAUUAAACUAUACUCGGUUAUAUAUGUUAGAGGAUGGAGGACCAUGAGUGGAUGUACACGGGCCGCGUUCGACGUAAUGAUGUCACCCCAGAAUGGAUUAGGAAGACCGAUGCUUUCGUGGAACGGGCAUAUGGCGAAGCUGCUAAAGGAGCUAGCCUAGUCCCUUGUCCGUGCAGCAAAUGUGACAACCGGAAAAGAAAACCAAAGAAGGCCAUGGUAGAACAUAUUUGGAAGAAUGGAUUUACGCCGGACUAUACUCGGUGGAUCUUCCAUGGUGAAGCGCAUCGCACGAGAGAGGAGGUGGUGAGACAACGCGUCGAGGAUUACGAUGCUGAUGCCGGGGUAGCAGACAUGUUGAACGACUAUCACGAGGCACAGUUCGCCGAAGGACGUACGGAGGACGAGCCAGAGGCGACCGCAAAGGCAUUCUACGACAUGUUUGACGCGGCACAGAAACCCCUUCACGGCAAGACAAAGGUUUCUCAACUGGAUGCCAUUGGGCGUAUAAUGGCGUUGAAGUCGCAGUAUAGCAUGAGUCGAGACGCCUUCGAUGGUUUGUUGACAGUUAUUGGCAGCCUGCUUCCGGAGGAUCACGUUCUGCCAAAGAGCAUGUACGAGGCACAGAAACUCCUUCGUGCACUCAAGAUGACGUAUGAGCAGAUACAUGCUUGUCCGAAGGGCUGCGUCCUAUUUAGGAAAGAACACACUGAGGCAAAGUACUGUCCGAAGUGUAAAUCGUCUAGGUUCAUGGAGGUAGACUCUGGUGAUGGACAGAAGAAGCAGCUCGACAUCCCCGUGACAAUCCUACGCCACCUUCCGUUCAUACCGAGGAUCCAGCGUCUAUACAUGACAGAGGAAUCCGCGAAACAGAUGACAUGGCACAAAAAAGGCAAACGAUACAAUCCUGACAAGAUGGUUCACGCAUCCGAUGGUGAAGCAUGGACCCACUUUGAUGCCAUUCACCAUGAGAAAGCCAAAGAGGCUCGACAUGUUCGUGUUGCGCUGGCCACAGAUGGGUUCAGUCCCUAUGGAAUGACCGCUGCCCCAUACACAUGUUGGCCCGUGUUCGUUAUCCCCAUCAAUCUCCCCCCGGCGUAUGCUUUCAAAGACAGAACAUAUUCGUGUCGUUGAUAAUUCCUGGACACCCGGGGAAUAAAAUGGGCGUGUACAUGGAGCCUUUGAUUGAUGAAUUGGUCCGUGCUUGGGAGGAAGGGGUAUGGACGUACGACCGAGCUACGAAGACAAACUUCAAAAUGCAUGUUUGGUACCAGUACUCCAUGCAUGACUUUCCGGCGUAUGGGCUAUUUUGCGCCUGGUGUGUUCACGGUAAGUUCCCAUGCCCAGUUUGCAAGGAAGCUCUUAGGUUCAUUUGGUUGAAGAAGGGUGGCAAAUAUUCGUCAUUCGAUAAACAUCGACAAUUUCUCCCUCCUGACCAUGCAUUCCGACAAGACAUCAAGAACUUUACGAAAGGUGUCGUGGUGACAGACCGCCCACCUGCAAUGAUGACUGGUGCCGAAGUUCGCGAACAGAUAGAUGGUCUCGUGGCCAACCCAGAAGGUGGUUUUGUGGGAUAUGGUGAGCAACAUAUGUGGACACAUAAGUCGGGCUUGACUCGGCUCCCCUAUUAUGAUGACCUGCUCCUUCCACACAACAUUGACGUGAUGCACACUGAAAAGAAUGUCGCCGAGGCACUUUGGGCGACAAUUAUGGAGAUUCCUGAUAAGUCAAAGGAUAACGUAAAGGCAAGAGUGGAUCUGGCAGAGUUAUGUGAUAGACCAAACCAAGAGAUGAAGCCGCCUAGUGGUGGUAAGACAUGGAGAAGGCCUAAGGCCGAUUUCGUCCUGAGCAGGGCCCAGAGGAAGGAAGUACUACAGUGGAUCAAGAUGUUAAUGUUCCCUGAUGGGUAUGCAGCUAACCUUAGUAGGGGGGUGAACUUAUCUACUCUGCGAGUCUUAGGGAUGAAGAGUCAUGACAUCCACAUAUGGAUUGAACGAAUUCUUCCGGCGAUGGUUCGAGGCUAUGUCCCUGAGCAUGUCUGGCUAGCGCUUGCAGAGUUGAGCUAUUUCUUCCGCCAGCUUUGUGCAAAAGAGUUAGCUCGGACCAUGAUUGCAGACUUGGAAAGGAUGGCACCCGUGUUACUGUGUAAGCUGGAGAAGAUCUUUCCACCCGGCUUCUUCAAUCCGAUGCAGCAUUUGAUUAUUCAUCUCCCAUAUGAGGCACGAAUGGGGGGGCCCGUGCAGGGACGUUGGUGCUAUCCAAUCGAGAGAUGUCUAAAGAGUAUCCGAAAGAAAUGUAGAAAUAAAUGCAAAAUCGAGGCUUCCAUUGCAGAGGCAUACAUACUGGAGGAGGUGUCAAACUUCACAACAACUUACUAUGGUGACAAACUGCCGAGCGUGCAUAAUACACCCCCUCGUUACAAUGAUGGCGGCAAUGAAUCGAACCUCAGCAUUUUUCGAGGGCAACUCGGAAGCGCGAGUGGUUCGACCACCAAGACCCUGAGACAUGAAGAGUGGCGCCAUAUCAUGCUAUAUGUAUUGACCAACCUUGAAGAGGUGACGCCAUACAUGGAGCAAUUUCUUCAUGAAUUCUGGCGUCGAUCAAGGGACCCAACUCCACAGGAAUAUGAUACCCUUCUUAGAAAGGGUGCGGGAAAUGGAUUGCCCGAUUUCAUUUCCUGGUUUAAACAUAAGGUACGUGCUUAGUUUGUUAUUCCAAGUUGCUCUUACGUGCGAAUAAUAUAACAAUCUAGCGUGUUUGAACUUGCAGGGCCAAAGAGAGCCGUCUAUGAGUGCCGAGUUGAGACAAGUAGCCAAUGGCUUUGCCUAUAGGGUCAGGAAAUUUUCUGGGUAUGACAUCAAUGGAUACCGUUUUCGCACAACAAGCUACGACCAAAGUCGGCCCAAUUGAAAAACCACGUGUUCUGGAGUCUUUACGCCCGGGCUUGACGAGGUCGAGUAUUAUGGAAGAAUUGAAGAAAUAUAUGAACUCAAUUUUUAUGGUUCCAAACCUCUUACUCCAGUGAUAUUCAAAUGUCAUUGGUUUGACCCUGAAGUUACGAGACGGACACAUUCUAAUCUUGGGAUAGUCGAAAUUCGACAGGAUUCCACCUUAACAGGAGACGAUGUCUACAUUGUGGCCCAACAGGCCACACAAGUGUAUUAUCUUCCAUAUGCGUGCCAAACGAAACAACAUCUUAAGGGUUGGGAUGUUGUGUAUAAGGUAUCACCGCACGCUAAAUUACCUGUUCCAAACGAUGAAGAUUAUAACUUAGACCCGGACACAUAUGACGGAGAGUUCUUCCAAGAAGAUGGGCUCGAAGGGCAAUUUGAGAUAGACUUAACCGAAGCGAUCGGAAUGGAAGUAGAUAUUGAAAUGGUUGUUGAUGACGAGGAUGAUGAGGUGCAAAAUGAGAAUGACUUAGAAAUACUUGAAGGCAAUGCCAAUGACGAAGUUGCGCCUUCAGAUGAUGUUGACUAUGAAAUGGUUGAUAGUGAUGAUGACACUUAUGAUCCGGCUAACCCGGACACAUAUGAAGAUUAUUUUUAAUCGAUGUAAUGCUAUAUUUCAUUUAUUUUGCAUAUGUUUCUAAAUACAUAUUUUUUUAUCUGUGCUUAAUUGUUUACUCUUAAUUGCAGGUUGUUGGACAAAGAUGGUUGGCGGUGGGACGAGGACGAGGAGGGGGAGGGGGAGGGGGAGGAGGAGCACCCGUAGGACGGAGGAGGAGGCGCAGCAGGACGACGCCGUACAGCAGCAGGUGGAGCAGCAAGCCGCUGUCGAUGCGGCACAGCAGGACGACGACGAUGCGGCGCAGCAGGACGACGACGACGACGACGCCGCUCAGCAGGACGUCUCAGGUUCUGGCUCCUCAGGUUCGAGGAGUAUCUACCUGCGAGGUCCCGCGAGCCUACCUAAGCGACCCAUACUUCGUGACAGACGUCCGCUCAUACGACCCGAUGGAGAGAGGUAGGUAACUUUAGAUGUUGUUGCUGCUUUUUCAUAUUAUAUGUUCAAAUUAAUAAUAGAAACUAAUACUUCAUCUUAAUCACUUUCGACAGGUCUUGGAUGAUUUUGGAGACUGCAGGGGGUCACGGCCGCAACCCCAAUGGCAUCCUCGGCCUUCUAUGCCGGGAACACUUCCCUGGGCUUGUCGAGUACGCCGGAGUGACGAGCCCAGCAUACACCUUCGACCACUACGCUGUCGCCCCCGAUGCAGUAGAUCGGGACGGCAGACAAUUCAACAACAAGGCGGAGCGGGUCAAGCAAGAGCUGUGGGUAAGUCUUCCUCGCACUAUAUUGUUUAAUAAGUCGCAUUUGUUGCAUAUUCUUUAAAUAAUGUAUGGAUACAUCGUCUUUGUAUGUAGGAUUUCUUCAGGUGCGAUGCUGGAUACGAGGCCAGGGCGGAUGUGGUGUCUACGACGUGCUGUAAGAAGCUCGUCGUGGACAUGCACUACGAGGCGCGCAUCCAGGCCAUCGUCACUUACCACGGCUCCGUCCUUGGGGAGAAGGUGAACAAGAAGGACGCCCGAACCAUGUCAUUGACUGCGGACCAGUACUUGCAGGUAAAUACAAAACUUUAUUAUUGGUACUAAAUAUGCUUAUUCUUAUCUUCUGAUAUGCGGUGUACUUAUAUUUUUUUAGAUGAUUCCUCAUUGGUGCGCCGCGCAUCCUGAGUGCUGGGAGAAGAUGGUGCAGAGGUGGUGCUCGGCUGAGUGGGACGAGGCGCACAACGCUAGCCGGGAACGGCGUUUGCUGAUGCAAGGUCCCUCCCACCAUCAAGGCAGCCGCAGCCUGGGCAAAUACGCGGAAGCAUGGGUACGCGCUCUUUUUUAUUUAGGUAUAUAACUUUCGAUUAGACAUGAUUUCUAACCAUAUCGUUGGUUUUCUCGCAGUCGGCGGCACAUGGUGGCGCGCCUUGCUCCACGUUCUCGGCAUAUGCCAUGGCCCACAAGGGGAAGGCGACGUCCGACGUCACCUACAACCCGGAUGACGGGCCCGAGGCGUACACCAACCCCGCCAUCCACAGCCGACUCAGUGAGUACACCGCAAUGGCCAAGGAGGUCCAUGGGCCAGAUUACGAUCCGAGGACCGAGGACAUCGACGGAGAUGUCCUCAUGAGGGUCGGAGGAGGCAAGAGGCAUGGGCGGUACUGGAUUGCCGACGGGGCAAUCGACUCGUCCUCCACUCCCACUCUCUCUCAGGUGCGAGCAAGGAGCACGAGCGCGAGCCCAGCCAUACGACCUCGGCAGGACACCUCACAGCAUCGUAUCCAGCAACUCCAGGUUAUUCCUUAUCUAUUCACCGUUCAUUAAUUUUUAUAUAUCUUCUCUUUGCAUUAUCGUAACAUUAGGGCAAAAUAUUACAGACUCAGCUAGAUGAUGAGAGGAGGCAACGUGAGGAGCUGGAGAAGAGGAUGGCGGAGAUGUUCGCGUACAUGCAGAGCCUUGGCGCCGCACAGGGUCAUGCUCCACCACCUCCGUUGUUCCCUGCAACUGACCCUGCUGAGUUCACUACUCCUGUGAGUAUCAAAAUUUUAGUACCGCAUGAUAUAUAUUCAUAUGUUCUCACACAUACAAUCUAUUCUCUAUGAAGGGUCAAUCGGCGGCGUCGAACAACCCUCAUGCUUCGUCCAGCCCUUCGCCGAACCAGUCCAGAUGCCCACCUCGUUGAUGAUCCAGACUUGGUCUUGUGAGUGUUGGUGAUGUUUGGCUAGUGACACUUUGUGAUAUAUAUGUGACGGUUGGUGAUGUUUGGCUAGUGAUCCAGACUUGGUAAAUACACAUACUUAUAUUUGUGAGACUUAUAUUAGUGACACUUUGUGAUAUAUAUGGUGUUGAUGAUAAAUGUGUUCAUUCUGUGAUGCGAUUGAUAUAUAAUGUGAUGUGAAUGAUAUAUAUCUUUUGUUUGUUUGGAUGGAACAGCAAAAACAAAUAAAAAAGGGACAUCCUGGUCACUUUGCCGAGUGUAACACUCGGCAAAGGGUUCUUUGCCGAGUGCUAUGACCAUGGCACUCGGCAAAGAAGGCAACCUGGGAACCGGUAAAGCCGUCUUUGCCGAGUGCUGACAAUGGCACUCGGCAAAGAAGGCAACCUGGGAACCGGCAAAGACAUCUUUGCCGAGUGCUGAAAAUGGCACUCGGCAAAGAAGGAAACCUGGGAACCGGCAAAGAUGUCUUUGCCGAGUGCCACUGCCAAGGCACUCGGCAAAGGGACUGGCAAAGGGGCCCACUAGAGGGUUCUUUGCCGAGUGCCAGUUCACCAGACACUCGGCAAAUAAACCUCCUUUGCCGAGUGUCGCCGUGGGCACUCGGCGAAGGAUCCGUCACCGUCACUUGGCGCCGUGACGGUGACUUUUCUUUGCCGAGUGCCAAAUGGCACUCGGCAAAGUCUUUGCCGAGUGCCCGACAAAAAGUACUCGGCAAAGAUGCUGUUGCCGAUGUACAGUUCGCCGAGCGUUCUUUGCCGAGUGUUACACUCGGCAAAGCAUUUGCCGAGUGUAAAAUAGCCUUUGCCGUGUGUCUCAGACACACGGCAAAGAAGCUGAUUCCGGUAGUGUUUGGGGGGCGACUAACACAAAUCGAUGACCUUUGAUGAAGAUGGAUGUAUUUCUCCCACAAAAUCUUGGAUCCAUCCUCUACUAUGAAAAGUCAUGAAUUCACAAGACGUUUUCGAAAACAAUUUCAGCUUCACUUGUAAAGUUGCUUGUGCGGCUGAAGCCAAGAAAACAUUAGAGGACAAACAAUAACUUACUAUGCUUUUCGUGAACUGUUUCAGACCAGCAGUAAUAAUUAUUGGUCCUACAUGCAUUAAUGGAUAAGCGGCUAGCAUGCCAAGACGGAGCAUUAGUUAGGAGAUAAGACCUAGCGUUUCAUUGCAUCCCCAUGAAAGGAAUACUAUCACUACUGCAUGAAUAAUUUUCAAAUGUAUUAAAAACUGAUAUUGAAAUGUAGGUAAUCUGUCCGCCUAUGUGAAAUGUUUAACAGAGGCAGCCACUCUAGGAUGUUGCCUCUAUUAAUUACUCAUAGAUGCAGCCAUCCAACUCUAGGAUUUCAAUUAGUCUCAAUCUAUGCAUUCGUCUAUGCAUUCUAGGAUUACAAUUAGUCUCAAUCUUGUAGUAUUUGUUCCUUCCUUGUCAAAUCACUUCUCAUCUAACUACUAUGCUUGUUUAACCAUCAGAACAUAACUACAACAACAUCCAUUUAUAAAGGCUUCGAUAGCAAACUUUACAUAUUCAUAUCAUGUUAAGGUUGUCACAUGUGUAAAGGUGAAGAGAUCAUGCAUGUCAUUCCACGUAGAUAAAAAGAAUGCCUAUAUAAAAAUGGCACAUUUUCUUGUAGGUAGUGGAAAGUAUCUUUCCAGCAAAGACCAUAUAAUCCGAUAAAGCUGAUAACUAAAUGUCGAAAUCGAGUAGAUGCCAUAUCAUCUAUACCUUAUCUGUUGUUUGGAAAAAAAAAAGACAAAAUCCAAAAAAAAAUAUAAGAGAUCUCACCUAUAUAAAUAGCUCUGAAAUCAGUAGUUAAUCCAUCACCCAUAAUAUUUUGAGCAUUCAGAAACACACCAAGCGAAGCGCACUAGCAACGACCUAACAACAAUGGCUACCAAGAUAUUAGCCCUCCUUGCGCUUCUUGCCCUUUUUGUGAGCGCAACAAAUGCGUUCAUUAUUCCACAAUGCUCACUUGCUCCUAGUGCCAUUAUUCCACAGUUCCUCCCACCAGUUACUUCAAUGGGCUUCGAACACCUAGCUGUGCAAGCCAACAUGCAACAACAAGCGCUUGCGGCGAGCGUCUUACAACAACCAAUUGCCCAAUUGCAACAACAAUCCUUGCCACAUCUAACAAUACAAGCCAUCACAACGCAACAGCAACAACAGUUCCUACCAGCACUGAGCCACCUAGCCAUGGUGAACCCUGCCGCCUACUUGCAAGAGCAGCUGCUUGCAUCCAACCCACUUGCUCUGGCGAACGUAGUUGCAAACCAGCAACAACAACAGCUACAACAGUUUCUGCCAACGCUCAGUCAACUAGCCAUGGUGA
RNAcentral lists this long non-coding RNA (34007 nucleotides) under Zea mays. RNAcentral describes it as "long non-coding RNA (ZMAY_LNC002145)". Lineage: Eukaryota; Viridiplantae; Streptophyta; Magnoliopsida; Poales; Poaceae. The record is from RNAcentral.